This 443-nucleotide ribosomal RNA is filed under the name uncultured bacterium. RNAcentral describes it as "partial 16S ribosomal RNA". It matches the Rfam family "Bacterial small subunit ribosomal RNA", at positions 338 to 795 of the family's 1533-position model. The record is from RNAcentral.
CCUACGGGGGGCAGCAGUGGGGAAUCUUGCACAAUGGGGGAAACCCUGAUGCAGCAACGCCGCGUGAAGGAAGACGGUUUUCGGAUUGUAAACUUCUAUCAAUAGUGAAGAAAGAAAUGACGGUACCUAAAUAAGAAGCCCCGGCUAACUACGCACCAGCAGCCGCGGAAAUACGUAGGGGGAACGCGUUAACCGGAAUUACUGGGAGUAAAGGGAGAGUAGGUGGCAAGGUAAGCGAUAUGUGAAAGCCUUAAGCUUAACUUAAGGAGGGCAUAACGAACUACCUAGCUAGAGUUCAGGAGAGGAGAGCGGAAUUCCUAGUGUAGCGGUGAAAUGCGUAGAUAUAAGGAAGAACACCAGUGGCGAAGGCGGCUUUCUGGACUGAAACUGACGCUGAGGCUCGAAAGCGUGGGGAGCGAACAGGAUUAGAUACCCCUGUAGUC